Small nuclear RNA from Ailuropoda melanoleuca (giant panda), 105 nucleotides. NCBI's taxonomy places the organism in Eukaryota, Metazoa, Chordata, Mammalia, Carnivora, Ursidae. The record is from Ensembl.
GCGCCCCUGGCAGCACAUAUUCUAAAACUGGAAUGAUACAGAGAAGGUUAGCACGGGCCCUGCACAAGGAUGACACAUAAGUUCUGUGAAUAUCUAUAAUAAGUA